RNAcentral lists this non-coding RNA (227 nucleotides) under Listeria floridensis. RNAcentral describes it as "T-box sequence". It matches the Rfam family "T-box leader". From Rfam's summary of the family: Uncharged tRNA acts as the effector for transcription antitermination of genes in the T-box leader family. T-boxes are found upstream of many aminoacyl-tRNA synthetase genes and some amino acid biosynthetic genes usually in Gram-positive bacteria. The anticodon of a specific tRNA base pairs to a specifier sequence within the T-box motif, and the NCCA acceptor tail of the tRNA base pairs to a conserved bulge in the T-box antiterminator hairpin. The record is from RNAcentral. Lineage: Bacteria; Bacillati; Bacillota; Bacilli; Caryophanales; Listeriaceae.
UCAAAUGCAAAGAUGGGGAAGAGUAUGUGAAUUCGUCUUUCUUAGAGAGAAAGUGGUUGCUGCAAACUUUCAAAGAAGAUUCACAGAAGGUAGCCUCGGAGCAGUUUUUCUGAACUUAUAGUAGGAAAAACCGGUGCAAUUCGCAUCGUUAAUGGAAUGAAGUGCCAAAGUCUUUUUGCUUUGGUAAAAAGGUGGUACCGCGAAUCUAAACUCUUUUCGUCCUUUUC